RNAcentral lists this ribosomal RNA (566 nucleotides) under Kurtzmaniella natalensis. RNAcentral's name for it is "eukaryotic LSU rRNA". It matches the Rfam family "Eukaryotic large subunit ribosomal RNA", at positions 62 to 648 of the family's 3401-position model. Lineage: Eukaryota; Fungi; Ascomycota; Pichiomycetes; Serinales; Debaryomycetaceae. The record is from RNAcentral.
AAACCAACAGGGAUUGCCUUAGUAACGGCGAGUGAAGCGGCAAAAGCUCAAAUUUGAAAUCUGGCACUUUCAGUGUCCGAGUUGUAAUUUGAAGAAGGUAACUCUGGAGUUGGCCCUUGUCUAUGUUCCUUGGAACAGGACGUCACAGAGGGUGAGAAUCCCGUGCGAUGGGGUGUCCAAUUCUAUGUAGAGUGCUUUCGAAGAGUCGAGUUGUUUGGGAAUGCAGCUCUAAGUGGGUGGUAAAUUCCAUCUAAAGCUAAAUAUUGGCGAGAGACCGAUAGCGAACAAGUACAGUGAUGGAAAGAUGAAAAGAACUUUGAAAAGAGAGUGAAAAAGUACGUGAAAUUGUUGAAAGGGAAGGGCUUGAGAUCAGACUCGGUAUUUUGCGAUCCUAUCCUUCGUGGAGAGGUUUCAUUUGCAGCUUACCGGGCCAGCAUCGGUUUGGAUGGUAGGAUAAUGACAUUGGAAUGUGGCUUUUCGGAGUGUUAUAGCCUUUGUUGAUACUGCCUAUCUAGACCGAGGACUGCGUCUUUGACUAGGAUGCUGGCAUAAUGAUCUUAAGCCGC